RNAcentral lists this unclassified non-coding RNA (157 nucleotides) under Pectobacterium atrosepticum SCRI1043. RNAcentral's name for it is "t44". The stretch from base 52 to 155 matches the Rfam family "t44 RNA". Rfam says of the family: This family consists of a number of bacterial RNA genes of between 135 and 170 bases in length. The t44 gene is found between the map and rpsB genes in all species in the full alignment apart from Shigella flexneri. Lineage: Bacteria; Pseudomonadati; Pseudomonadota; Gammaproteobacteria; Enterobacterales; Pectobacteriaceae. The record is from RNAcentral.
CGAUGAUCCGGCUGGAUAUUGGUUAUACGGUAUCUAACCACAUCGACUAAACUCACUUUGUGUAAAUAACACACACAUGUCGGCACGUUCGCCGGGGUGCUCCUGAGGUGUUUCACCGGAUGGGGUCGGCGUAAUGGGACAUGUGGAGGCAUAACCC